Molecule: long non-coding RNA, 1492 nt
Filed under: Macaca mulatta (Rhesus monkey)
Lineage: Eukaryota; Metazoa; Chordata; Mammalia; Primates; Cercopithecidae
Description: lncRNA (ENSMMUG00000057316.1)
Source: RNAcentral
AAUAAGUCAAUUUUCUUUUUUCAUUUUCCUGUUGCUAUGUGACAAAGGUAAUAUUCUAUACUUUUUGUAUUAAAGGACUUCAAAUUAUUGAUACUUUAGAUGACUUCUAAAGUUCUUGCCAUAUUCUGAAUGAAGAAUGUGAGCCCCAGGUUAGAAACAUCAACAUGAUGUGGACUAUUCUGAGCUCAACAGAACUGACUGAACUAGCAGGGUGUGUUUUUGCUGCUUCGUCCACUCACACACUGUCUGAGACCCAUUCAUGUCUCUGGAGGUCCCUCACCUUGCGCUGGCUGACUCCCCUGAGGGACUUGCUGGGACGUCCUCAUCCAUCUGCUGUGAACGACCAUUUGGAUCUCUUCCCACUCGGGUUUGUGCGAACAGUGACACCAGGUGCAUCUGAAAUAUGCCACAUGCCCAGGUGCACGUGGGGUGUGUGCAGCUCCCUGACCCCUCUGCGGCGGGACAGCAAUGAGGCCCAGGGCGUAGCGGGGAGGUUUGGGUGUGGGAGCAGGCUGGGGUUGGAGAGAGGACGCUGGAUUCUGGACUUUAUCUAAGGGCUGAGCAGCAGGCGUCAUGGCAGAUCGGGUCUGGUGUUGAACUGACCUGAUUGUCGCAGAGAACUGAUGUUCAUGGUUUCUCUGAAUAACAUAGAAAUGGAUCCUUGUGGUCUUGAAACUUGAGAACGUGACGUGUCUUAUUUGAGUUCCUUUCUCAGAAAACUGACCAUCAGGCCUCCUGGGUAGCGUGAAGGAACAGACUCAGCAGAUCACGGCAUCUGUCAGUCAGGAAAAUGCAUUUGAGGCUGACCUCCCAUCUCCUAGCCUGCAGCUCCUGAUGCACGCCUUCUUCACUGGCAGUAACCAUCGUCUCAGUGACUGGCUUUCUGUGUGCUGAGCAGUAGGAUCUGGAACAAACCCUUGCAUUUUGGAAACAUGGAGAGCAGCCUCAGCAGGCCCCCGGCCCCGAGUGCAGUCAUGACUAUUAAGGACCCACACCAACCCCCAAAGGUGAGUGUGGACAAGAAGAAAAGGCUCCUGAGGAUCCAACCAGGAGAAUUCCUGCAAUGUCACGGAGAAUCAUGGCCACCCGGCCCAUUCCCCCAUUGAAGGGCAGCUGCAAGAUUCAGCUCAUUUGUCUUCUUUCCUGGACAUGUUCAAAUCUCUUUCAACACAACCUUGUGAUCCUGAGAUUCCAUCAAGAUGUGCAUUGUUUUACAAUAUUGCUUUAAUUUACUCUGCCAGCUAUCUGGGGAAAUGCAACCUCAUCAGCAGAAAUUAUUUCCUCCCUGCCGCUUCUGAAAUCUGUUAUUUCCUAUAGCCAGGUACUGAGCCCUUCAACUGAAGUCUAAACCCUCCACCCUCUCCCUCCGGGGUCGCCAAGCCGGUGGUUUGUUCCAUGCUCCCAGGCAGAUUGUGUCAACUCAAAGUCCAACGUGCUUAAGAAAUACUUAAUUUUAGGAGGUUUUUUUUUUAAUGUUUUUGUUUCAUGGAGG